GGGCGCAAGCCUGAUGCAGCCAUGCCGCGUGUAUGAAGAAGGCCUUCGGGUUGUAAAGUACUUUCAGCAGUGAGGAAGGCGGGUACGUUAAUAGCGUGCUCGUUUGACGUUAGCUGCAGAAGAAGCACCGGCUAAACUCCGUGCCAGCAGCCGCGGUAAUACGGAGGGUGCGAGCGUUAAUCGGAAUUACUGGGCGUAAAGCGCAUGCAGGCGGCCUGUUAAGUCAGAUGUGAAAGCCCGGGGCUUAACCUCGGAAUUGCAUUUGAAACUGGCAGGCUAGAGUCUUGUAGAGGGGGUAGAAUUUCAGGUGUAGCGGUGAAAUGCGUAGAGAUCUGAAGGAAUACCAGUGGCGAAGGCGGCCCCCUGGACAAAGACUGACGCUCAGAUGCGAAAGCGUGGGGAGCAAACAGGAUUAGAUACCCUGGUAG
This 428-nucleotide ribosomal RNA is filed under the name uncultured bacterium. RNAcentral describes it as "bacterial SSU rRNA". It matches the Rfam family "Bacterial small subunit ribosomal RNA", at positions 373 to 793 of the family's 1533-position model. The record is from RNAcentral.